This is a long non-coding RNA of Gallus gallus (chicken), 1870 nucleotides long. NCBI's taxonomy places the organism in Eukaryota, Metazoa, Chordata, Aves, Galliformes, Phasianidae. The record is from Ensembl.
AAGCACAGUGCUGGGCCCACGUACUGAUACCAGAAGGAGCGGGGCUGAAGAUUUCUACUGUCUGUCCCUGGAAAUCCUUACCUAGAUGAGUAAAGGUCAUUGGCAUUAACUAAUACUGCUUCUUACCUCCUAACUUUCAACAGGUUCCUCUGAUACUGCACCUUGAGCUCUGACAGCAGGAAUGACUGUGGCACCAAAUCUCCCAGCAGUGCUCUGAAGUACACACGCCGUGCACAGAAAAAGAUCCUGGCAACUACAUCCACCACGGGCUUACAGUAAGAUAUGCCCUCCUCUAAUGUGCCUCACAUAGUGUGAGCAUCCUUUGUAUUGAGUGUGUUUGGGUACUAAGGGACAGUAUCAGGAGCUCAGAGGUUCUGUAGAUACAUAGGUAGAUGGUUUCUACCAUAACACAGGAGAUGGUAACAAAUCCUGCAGUAGGUACCUGCUCUGAUUGCAGUAACAUUGCUGCCAGCAUCAGUACUACUGCACACGAUCUUUUGGGAAUGAGCCUCUCCCUUAAAAAUUAAGAGACCACAUCCUAUGCCUGCUGAAGUUCACAGUGAUGUGAUCUCAUUCCAGCAUGCAGUGAAGUCCCUCUUAGAGCAGCCAGCCCUGGGAGAGCGGAGGCCAGACCGGUACCUGAGCAGUACUGGCGCAGCAGUGCUCCUGCAGGCAGCCACACCAAAACACCACCUCAUGAGUGCGUGCAGGGCUUGCACUGGGCUGAGGAAUGGCACCACAUGUGCAGCUAGGCAAGGCCUGAUGAGAGCAGCAUCUCAUUACAAGCUUUCCGUUCUGAGUCAUCUAUUAUUUUCCAGAAGAUUCCUACAUGGUGUGAUCCAACUGGGGUCACCGUUUGCAUUGGAAAGAUGGGUUGCUGCCAUCCUUGUUCUGCCGGAGCACUGCUCCGGCCAUGUGAAAAGCAAAGGGGAGUUCCGAGGAGAUGUUUAGUCACAGCUUCAUUGCUCUCUGCAGUUGAGUUUGAUGGCUCCCAAAAAGUGACUCCUCCCUUAACGAGUCCCAGGGGAUCCAGUUGUGUACUUUUUCAAGAUCUGUGAUGCACAUAUGUAUCUCUCUGGCAUUCUCCCAAAUCUUUUCAAAGAUAAAACGUGAGAUGAACAUCUGGUUCGCGCUAUUACAAUCUUUAUUAAACACUAAUUUCUUCUCCAGAAUAGCACCAUCUGCCACAGCUCCAGUCCCUGUUUUCUAACAUGGCUUUUCCUUUGGAAGUACACAAUGAAAUAAAUCCUUAACUGUUUUAGUCCCCAGAACUUCUUGAGAUGAAAAGCACAGUGACAGUAGCAGGCUGCAGGAGUUUAUUUGCUUCAAAAUCCUACAUUAUUAUUUAACAUGCUAAGAAUCCUUAUUAUCAAGGAUACCAGUUCCGCUUCACAUUCAGAAGAGUUCACUCAAGCACUUUGAUAAAUGCAUUGCUGAGGGCUUUGAUCCUUUUUCAGCAGCUUAGAGCGCUGUGUCUUCAAGCCCCGAUAGUCACGGCGUGGAUUUUGCAGAAUAUCCUUUGCUUCUCAUAAAAAUUUUUGGAAAAGAGAGCUUGUUAUACAUGUAUAAAAGGACAGUUUCAUUUUCAACAGUUAAUUCCACGUCUUUACGGUCCCCAUUCUUUAGCCCAGGAGUACUCGAAGGCCUGGAGAGAUGGCACCUCUGAGAUCCCUGCUCAGUUCUUCACAGGGAACGCAGUCUCCAGCAUUCCUUGUGAGCAGGGCACAGUCCCAAGUCACCCAUUUCUCUCCCGUGAUAUUUGGAGAUUCGCCUCUCUCUUUUCAGGAGCUCGAGAGUAUAAAAGGAUUAUGGUCUCCUGGACUCUCAGGUCCAUGACUAAAACAAAUCUAAAUAAACUUUAUUAAGAGAC